ACCUGACCAUGGGGAGUACGCUUAACCGCAGUACCUGCUUUUGCGCUUGCACCAAGCACCUUCCAACGGUGUCUUCUCUAAUUCUCUCAACAACACUGAAGUUAGUUAUGAAAGCCACCUAUAGAAACAAUGAAUCCGGUCAGCCCCGAUGGCAAACGGUACAGUCAGAAUUUGAACUGUUAGGUACAUCACUGUGCAGUCUACAUCACCAUGGUCCUUUCGUGCUCUUCUGUCUACAGUGGCAAAGUAGAAAUGUAUGCCUGUUAAUAUAUCACAAAGCAAAUGGCUGUGCUUGCUUCAAGGAUGUGAAACAAAGGGGACAGACCUUCAGUGAAUUGGAGGCUACAAUCCUGAGCCACUUUUGUUCUGUUUUUUGCUACUUUCCCUUUUGGCUCUUUGCUACCCAAUUUGAUCAACCUGCAGACCCUGCCCAGAGCUCGAGGAAGUGGUUGCCAAGGGGAUGACCAUGGAAGUAACAUCUCCCAUUCUGACUCAUUCAGAUGCCUCUAAGCUCUCAUCAUUCUCCUCUGAACUCUUUGCCAAGGACGCAGCCUCUCUUAAGUGACAGAGACACACAAGGCUAAUGAAAACAUAAGCACACCAUGACAACUCUUUGUGUGUGUUGAUGUUCUGGUCUUCCCUUUAAAAGUCUGGGGACAUUUCUAAAGCAGGAUCUGUGUUCCAGACAGUUUUCUUCCAGACGGGACUGAGACAAUGACAUCUUGUCCCUCCGUUCCUUCUGGGUGCUCUGAGAAUGAGAUAAUGUGAAGUCACCUUACACAAUAUCUGGAUUGAAGCAAAUCGUUUUUUGUGAGCAUCACUUAGAAGCUUAACAUCUUUUGGUGCUUGAGGGCAGCUGUUAAUUGGCAUGUGAAUAAAAAUGCUUGUUCAGGUGUCACA
RNAcentral lists this long non-coding RNA (900 nucleotides) under Rattus norvegicus (Norway rat). RNAcentral's name for it is "long non-coding RNA NONRATT004389". The record is from RNAcentral. Lineage: Eukaryota; Metazoa; Chordata; Mammalia; Rodentia; Muridae.